RNAcentral lists this ribosomal RNA (406 nucleotides) under uncultured eukaryote. RNAcentral describes it as "bacterial SSU rRNA". It matches the Rfam family "Eukaryotic small subunit ribosomal RNA", at positions 116 to 549 of the family's 1831-position model. The record is from RNAcentral.
UUUAUUUGAUGAUUUUCUUACAUGGAUAACCGUGGGAAACUAGGGCUAAUACAUGCAUAGGGCCUGAGAAGGUCGUAUUUAUUAGUUUCAAACCAAUGCAGCCAACUGCAUUGUGAGGAAUCAAGAUAACUGAUCGAAGCUCAAAUUUGAGCUAAAUCAUUCAAGCUUCUGACCUAUCAGCUUGUUGUUAGUGUAUUGGACUAACAAGGCAAUAACAGGUAACGGAGAAUUGGGGUUCGAUUCCGGAGAGUCAGCCUGAGAAACGGCUGACAUUUCUACGGAAGGCAGCAGGCGUGAAAAUUACCCAAUCACAAUUCGUGGAGGUAGUUAAUAGACAUAACAAUUCCGACCUUUUAGGUUCUGGAGAUGUAAUGAAGUCAAUUUAAAAAAUUGACCGAAAUCCAUU